RNAcentral lists this ribosomal RNA (441 nucleotides) under uncultured bacterium. Its description in RNAcentral is "partial 16S ribosomal RNA". It matches the Rfam family "Bacterial small subunit ribosomal RNA", at positions 338 to 795 of the family's 1533-position model. The record is from RNAcentral.
CCUACGGGUGGCAGCAGUCGGGAAUAUUGCGCAAUGGAGGAAACUCUGACGCAGCGACGCCGCGUGCAUGAAGAAGGUUUUCGGAUUGUAAAGUUCUUUAGACAGGGAAGAACACAGUGAUUACCUGUAGAUAAAACUCCGGCUAACUCCGUGCCAGCAGCGCCGGUAAUACGUAGGGAGGAAGCGUUAUCCGGCUUAAUUGGGUGUAAAGGGUGUGUAGAGGGAGCAGAAAGUUAGUUGUGAAAUCCCUCGGUUUAACCGAGGAACUGCAGCCAAAACUAGUUCCCUUGAGUACUGGAGAGGUAAGUGGAAUUCCUAGUGUAGCGGUGGAAUGCGUAGAUAUUAGGAGGAACAUCAGUGGCGAAGGCGACUUACUGGACAGUAACUGACGUUGAGGCACGAAAGUGUGGGGAGCAAACAGGAUUAGAUACCCUAGUAGUC